This 929-nucleotide unclassified non-coding RNA is filed under the name Ooceraea biroi (clonal raider ant). Its description in RNAcentral is "leucine repeat adapter protein 25, transcript variant X1". Lineage: Eukaryota; Metazoa; Arthropoda; Insecta; Hymenoptera; Formicidae. The record is from RNAcentral.
AUUUGAUUUCUGCUUGUAUAAAAUGCAGAAGACGGGAAAUGAAAUGUUAGGAAACUUUAGAUUUAGAAACAUUUUCUUUCUCAAACAAUGAGUAUAUUUUUUGACGUAUGCUGUUAAUGCACAUUGCCAAUAUUCGCUUAAAACCUGAGGAAAUUUGGAUACAGUAGUUUGCAACAUAUACAUGUAUGUAAUACGAGAACGUGUCGCGUACUGUUAAAUCGCACGAUUUGAAAAUUUCAAGAUGGCGCAGCCUUGUACUCGCUCCGUGCACUUUUGUCAGUCGCAGUCAGUUUCAGUUGGUUUCAAUCUUUCGUCUGAAGCGUGUUCGUUUCCACGUUACUUCUAGCGUCUGAUCGAAGGUGACUGAAAGUAACAGACAUAAUUGGAGGUGACAGAAAAAUUAGAAAAGAUUUCUCGCAUCCGUGUCGUUGCAUUAGUGUUGCCUCGCGCUCUCGCGAAAAUCACGUCACCGUUUCUGCAGGAUGAAGGUGACGAUAAAGAGCUGGACGGGUGUCGCCACCUGGCGGUGGAUAGCCAAUGACGAUAAUUGCGGCAUAUGCAGGAUGCCGUUUGACGCCAGCUGCCCGGAUUGCAAGAUUCCUGGAGACGACUGUCCAUUAGUGUGGGGGCAGUGCUCGCAUUGUUUCCACAUACACUGCAUCAUGAAGUGGCUGCACUCGCAGCAGACCAGUCACAUCUGCCCGAUGUGUCGCCAGGAGUGGAAGUUCAAGGAGUAACCGUGGACGUUUUCCGCACGGGCCCGCAGGUGUCAGCACGCAGCGAGUGAUCAGCAUACAAGAAAGGAUCGCGAUGUCUUCCUUGCAAGGACUACCCCCUUUGCCGAGGAGUCUGAGCGGCUUCAACUUGAACGGCGGACGCGGCGAGAGUGGCGAGCCGCCUCCACCGCCUACGAGGUCGUCCAGUAAAUC